AGUCGAGCGGUAACAGGAAUUAGCUUGCUAAUUUGCUGACGAGCGGCGGACGGGUGAGUAACGCGUAGGAAUCUGCCUGGUAGUGGGGGACAACAUGUGGAAACGCAUGUUAAUACCGCAUACGCCCUACGGGGGAAAGGAGGGGAUCUUAGGACCUUUCGCUAUCAGAUGAGCCUGCGUGAGAUUAGCUAGUUGGUGGGGUAAAGGCUCACCAAGGCGACGAUCUCUAGCUGGUCUGAGAGGAUGAUCAGCCACACUGGGACUGAGACACGGCCCAGACUCCGACGGGAGGCAGCAGUGGGGAAUAUUGGACAAUGGGGGCAACCCUGAUCCAGCCAUGCCGCGUGUGUGAAGAAGGCCUUAGGGUUGUAAAGCACUUUCAGGAGUGAGGAAGGGUGUACGGUUAAUACCCGUAUAUUUUGACGUUAACUCCAGAAGAAGCACCGGCUAACUCUGUGCCAGCAGCCGCGGUAAUACAGAGGGUGCAAGCGUUAAUCGGAAUUACUGGGCGUAAAGC
This 517-nucleotide ribosomal RNA is filed under the name uncultured Marinomonas sp. RNAcentral describes it as "bacterial SSU rRNA". It matches the Rfam family "Bacterial small subunit ribosomal RNA", at positions 60 to 566 of the family's 1533-position model. The record is from RNAcentral. Lineage: Bacteria; Pseudomonadati; Pseudomonadota; Gammaproteobacteria; Oceanospirillales; Oceanospirillaceae.